Gossypium arboreum is the source of this 610-nucleotide non-coding RNA. The record is from Rfam. NCBI's taxonomy places the organism in Eukaryota, Viridiplantae, Streptophyta, Magnoliopsida, Malvales, Malvaceae.
UUGUUGUCUGGAGAAGCGUCCUCAGCGGCGGACCGGGCCCAAGUCCCCUGGAAAGGGGCGCCGGAGAGGGUGAGAGCCCCGUCGUGCCCGGACCCUGUCGCACCAUGAGGUGCUGUCUACGAGUCGGGUUGUUUGGGAAUGCAGCCCUAAUCGGGCGGUAAAUUCCGUCCAAGGCUAAAUACGGGCGAGAGACCGAUAGCGAACAAGUACCGCGAGGGAAAGAUGAAAAGGACUUUGAAAAGAGAGUCAAAGAGUGCUUGAAAUUGUCGGGAGGGAAGCGGAUGGGGGCCGGCGAUGCGCCCCGGUCGGAUGUGGACCGGCUCUCGCCGUUCCACAUCCGACCGGGGCGCAUCGCCGGCCCCCAUCCGCUUCCCUCCCGACAAUUUCAAGCACUCUUUGACUCUCUUUUCAAAGUCCUUUUCAUCUUUCCCUCGCGGUACUUGUUCGCUAUCGGUCUCUCGCCCGUAUUUAGCCUUGGACGGAAUUUACCGCCCGAUUAGGGCUGCAUUCCCAAACAACCCGACUCGUAGACAGCACCUCAUGGUGCGACAGGGUCCGGGCACGACGGGGCUCUCACCCUCUCCGGCGCCCCAUUCCAGGGGACUUGGGC